RNAcentral lists this ribosomal RNA (463 nucleotides) under uncultured bacterium. RNAcentral describes it as "partial 16S ribosomal RNA". It matches the Rfam family "Bacterial small subunit ribosomal RNA", at positions 29 to 507 of the family's 1533-position model. The record is from RNAcentral.
AGUGAACGCUGGCGGCGUGCCUAAUACAUGCAAGUCGAACGAUGAAGUCCUAGCUUGCUAGGAUGGAUUAGUGGCGCACGGGUGAGUAAUAUAUAGUUAAUCUGCCCUACACAGAGGAACAACAGUUGGAAACGACUGCUAAUACCUCAUACUCCUAUUUGACAUAAGUUAAAUAGGGAAAGUCUUUUCGGUGUAGGAUGAGACUAUAUCGUAUCAGCUAGUUGGUAAGGUAAUGGCUUACCAAGGCUAUGACGCGUAACUGGUCUGAGAGGAUGAUCAGUCACAUUGGAACUGAGACACGGUCCAAACUCCUACGGGAGGCAGCAGUAAGGAAUAUUGCGAAAUGGGGGAAACCCUGACGCAGCAACGCCGCGUGGAGGAUGACACUUUUCGGAGCGUAAACUCCUUUUAUCAGGAAAGAAUAAUGACGGUACCUGAUGAAUAAGCACCGGCUAACUCCGUG